AGUGAACGCUGGCGGCAGGCCUAACACAUGCAAGUCGAACGGCAGCGGGUCAGUAGCAAUACUGAUGCCGGCGAGUGGCGGACGGGUGAGGAAUACAUCGGAAUCUACCUUGUCGUGGGGGAUAACGUAGGGAAACUUACGCUAAUACCGCAUACGAACUAUGGUUGAAAGCGGCGGACCGCAAGGCGUCGCGCGAUUGGAUGAGCCGAUGUCCGAUUAGCUAGUUGGCGGGUAAAGCCCACCAAGGCGACGAUCGGUAGCUGGUCUGAGAGGAUGAUCAGCCACACUGGAACUGAGACACGGUCCAGACUCCUACGGAGGCAGCAGUGGGGAAUAUUGGACAAUGGCGCAAGCCUGAUCCAGCCAUACCGCGUGUGUGAAGAAGGCCUCGGUGUAAG
Molecule: ribosomal RNA, 398 nt
Filed under: uncultured bacterium
Lineage: Bacteria
Description: bacterial SSU rRNA
Rfam family: Bacterial small subunit ribosomal RNA
Source: RNAcentral